Molecule: ribosomal RNA, 407 nt
Filed under: uncultured bacterium
Lineage: Bacteria
Description: partial 16S ribosomal RNA
Rfam family: Bacterial small subunit ribosomal RNA
Source: RNAcentral
AGUGAACGCUGGCGGCGUGCCUAAUACAUGCAAGUAGGACGCAGUUGCGAACGGGUGAGUAACGCGUAGGUAACUACCUAUUAGAGGGGGAUAACUAUUGGAAACGAUAGCUAAUACCGCAUACUAGUAGAUGGACCUGAGUGGUAUUAGCUAGUAGGUAGGGUAAUGGCCUACCUAGGCCACGAUACAUAGCCGACCUGGGGGGGUGAUCGGCCACCCUGGUACUGAGACACGGCCCAGACUCCUACGGGAGGCAGCAGUAGGGAAUCUUCGGCAAUGGGGUGAACCCUGACCGAGCAACGCCGCGUGAGUUAGGAGGGUUUUCGGAUCGUAAGGCUCUGUUGUUAAGGAAGCGGUACUUAACCAGAAAGGGACGGCUAACUACGUGCCAGCAGCCGCGGUAAUUC